RNAcentral lists this ribosomal RNA (718 nucleotides) under Lachnobacterium sp. P26. Its description in RNAcentral is "bacterial SSU rRNA". It matches the Rfam family "Bacterial small subunit ribosomal RNA", at positions 19 to 735 of the family's 1533-position model. The record is from RNAcentral. Lineage: Bacteria; Bacillati; Bacillota; Clostridia; Lachnospirales; Lachnospiraceae.
AUGGCUCAGGAUGAACGCUGGCGGCGUGCUUAACACAUGCAAGUCGAACGAAGCGCAUUGUUUGAAUUCUUCGGAAGGAAGAUAAUGUGACUGAGUGGCGGACGGGUGAGUAACGCGUGGGUAACCUGCCAUGUACAGGGGGACAACAGUUGGAAACGGCUGCUAAUACCGCAUAAGCGCACGAGAUUGCAUGAUCUAGUGUGAAAAACUCCGGUGGUAUAUGAUGGACCCGCGUUUGAUUAGCUAGUUGGUAAGGUAACGGCUUACCAAGGCGACGAUCAGUAGCCGACCUGAGAGGGUGACCGGCCACAUUGGGACUGAGACACGGCCCAGACUCCUACGGGAGGCAGCAGUGGGGAAUAUUGCACAAUGGGCGAAAGCCUGAUGCAGCGACGCCGCGUGAACGAAGAAGUAUUUCGGUAUGUAAAGUUCUAUCAGCAGGGAAGAAGAAAUGACGGUACCUGACUAAGAAGCCCCGGCUAACUACGUGCCAGCAGCCGCGGUAAUACGUAGGGGGCAAGCGUUAUCCGGAUUUACUGGGUGUAAAGGGAGCGCAGGCGGCCCGGCAAGUGUGAUGUGAAAACCCAAGGCUCAACCAUGGGAUUGCAUUGGAAACUGUCGAGCUAGAGUAUCGGAGGGGUAAGUGGAAUUCCUAGUGUAGCGGUGAAAUGCGUAGAUAUUAGGAGGAACACCAGUGGCGAAGGCGGCUUACUGGACG